Molecule: long non-coding RNA, 1802 nt
Filed under: Solanum tuberosum (potato)
Lineage: Eukaryota; Viridiplantae; Streptophyta; Magnoliopsida; Solanales; Solanaceae
Description: long non-coding RNA (STUB_LNC005090)
Source: RNAcentral
AUGAUGGUGCUGCCAUGCUUACUUUUGAGGCUCUCUCUGAAACAUCCGAGUUCGCAAGGAAAUGGGUCCCAUUCUGCAAAAAGUUCAACAUAGAGCCUCGAGCGCCGGAGUGGUAUUUUUCUCUGAAGGUUGAUUAUCUGAAAAAUAAAGUACACCCAUCAUUUGUGAGGGAACGUCGUGCUAUGAAGGUGUGCGAAUUAUCAAAUUUAUGUUCUUCUCGACAUUUUCCUUUGAUGGUAUGACUAUAAAAAUCUGUUGCUAAGACAACCUGGGACUACUCUUUUUUGUGCAGAGAGAUUAUGAAGAAUUCAAGGUUCGGAUAAAUGGGCUGGUUGCCACAGCACAAAAGGUUCCCGAAGAUGGCUGGACCAUGCAAGAUGGAACGCCUUGGCCAGGAAAUCUUGUCAGGGAUCAUCCUGGAAUGAUUCAGGUAUAAGUCUGAUCUCUUUUAUAUCCUAACUUUAAUGGUGAUAUUUUAAGAUUUAACUAUUGUGAACUAACCAAAUUUUCAUUCUUGUAAUUGAAAAGGUCUUCCUGGGUAAUGAUGGUGUCCGUGAUAUUGAAGGGAAUGUAUUGCCUCGCCUUAUCUAUGUUUCUCGUGAAAAACGUCCUGGAUUUGACCACCACAAGAAGGCUGGUGCCAUGAAUGCUUUGGUAAGUUGUCUUCCAUUUCUCCUCAUUCUUCCUCCUCCCUUCCUUCCUUUUUAAAAAAUUUGCACUGGAUAGGCUUUUGACCCUUUAUAAAAUGUGAUUCUAGAUGCGUGUAUCAGCAGUCAUAUCAAAUGCUCCUUACAUGCUCAAUGUGGAUUGUGAUCACUAUAUAAAUAACAGUAAGGCACUGAGAGAAGCUAUGUGCUUUAUGAUGGACCCCACUUCAGGAAAGAAAAUAUGCUACGUACAAUUUCCUCAAAGAUUUGAUGGUAUUGACAGGCAUGACAGAUAUUCCAACCGCAAUGUGGUCUUCUUUGAUGUACGUAAAAUGCCUUCUUCGGGGGUUUUUGUUAUGGAAUGUUGCACCUAUGCACUGUUUAUGUUAUUGCAUAAGUUUACGAUAUGCACCAUUUUGCCUGACAGUAAGCUAAUUUUAUUCCAUUUGCGGUAACAGAUCAAUAUGAAAGGACUUGAUGGGAUCCAGGGUCCAAUUUAUGUGGGCACUGGAUGUGUCUUCAGGAGGCAAGCCCUUUAUGGUUAUGAUGCUCCAAAGAAGACAAAACCUCCAGGAAAAACAUGCAACUGCUGGCCGAAAUGGUGUUGCUGUUGUUUCGGUUCUCGAAAGAAGCAUAAGAAAGCGAAAACAACCAAGGAUAACAAAAAAAAGCCAAAGAGCAAAGAGGCUUCACCACAAAUUCAUGCCCUUGAAAAUAUUGAGGAAGGAAUUGAAGGUAUGCAAAGGAACUUUGAGAAGCCACUCCUAAUGGCUAAUUUGUAGACUUAAGUCUUUAGAUUAAUAAAUUUGGAUCCCUUUUCAACUUGCCUCUUUUGCAAGGAAACAUCCUAAUGGAACUACUUUCGAAGUUCCUCUAUCCCAACUCUUUUAUGUUUUAUUUUUUCAUCAUCCCUCUUUUUUGAUUAAAUCAGAUUUACAAUCUCUAGAGCAUGUUCUUCCUCCCUUACUCAUAGUGAAACUUCAGAUUACUGUAUGCAUAAUUGUUGUUAACUUACUUUUUUCUGCAGGAAUUGAUAGUGAAAAAGCAGCCCUCAUGCCUCAGAUAAAACUUGAGAAGAAAUUUGGCCAAUCACCGGUAUUUGUUGCUUCAACACUUCUAGAAGAUGGUGGCAUUCCUCCAGGAGCAACAUCAGCA